This 638-nucleotide long non-coding RNA is filed under the name Nicotiana tabacum (common tobacco). Its description in RNAcentral is "long non-coding RNA (NTAB_LNC003180)". Lineage: Eukaryota; Viridiplantae; Streptophyta; Magnoliopsida; Solanales; Solanaceae. The record is from RNAcentral.
UUAGUCAUUUCUGAGAUGAUGUAGUAAUGGAUCACCGCUGGUGACUUGAUAUAUGAGGAAAUAAACUUAUCUGUAUUUGCGAAACCAAUAAAUGCAUCACAUAUAUCUUUUAAAUAGACUAUUUGUUUUACAGUGCCAUGAUUAUAUAAUAUGUAUUCUCACUAUAUAAAUCGGAACGCACAAGUAUUUUCCGAUACUUAAUCUGUGAAUAAACUAGUGCUCUCUUGUUUCCCACUGAAAAAAUUUACUUUCGUUCUUAUACUAUCAUUAAUGAAUGGUGCUUUUGAAGUUUUAUGGUUUAUAAUUGUCAUCAUUUCCCUUUAAUGUCUCUGCUUUUAUCUGAUACAGUGUGCUGCUUAUUUCUUUAGUUAAUCUUCAGCGAUUGGGUUCAGCUCCACAUCUCAGUUUUCUUUCUAAUGGCGGUAUGCUAGUGGGAUUUUUUGUUUUCGUUCUUUUUUCCUGUAAUUUGUAGGUUCCAGAACUUAUAUUUUAGUUUUCCAGAUUGACAGGAUUCUUAAAGAUGAAGCUACGGAAGAAAAGGGAGAGCGAGCUAGAAUGGUAAGUCUCAUGUAUCUGGAAAUAAAUAUAGCUGGUAGUUUACAAAAGACUAUCUUGUAUGUAAUUUUUUUUGAUGAUGA